Molecule: ribosomal RNA, 497 nt
Filed under: uncultured bacterium
Lineage: Bacteria
Description: partial 16S ribosomal RNA
Rfam family: Bacterial small subunit ribosomal RNA
Source: RNAcentral
GAUGAACGCUGGCGGCGUGCCUAAUACAUGCAAGUCGAGCGAACAGACGAGGAGCUUGCUCCACUGACGUUAGCGGCGGACGGGUGAGUAACACGUGGAUAACCUACCUAUAAGACUGGGAUAACUUCGGGAAACCGGAGCUAAUACCGGAUAAUAUAUUGAACCGCAUGGUUCAAUAGUGAAAGACGGUUUUGCUGUCACUUAUAGAUGGAUCCGCGCCGCAUUAGCUAGUUGGUAAGGUAACGGCUUACCAAGGCAACGAUGCGUAGCCGACCUGAGAGGGUGAUCGGCCACACUGGAACUGAGACACGGUCCAGACUCCUACGGGAGGCAGCAGUAGGGAAUCUUCCGCAAUGGGCGAAAGCUUGACGGAGCAACGCCGCGUGAGUGAUGAAGGUCUUCGGAUCGUAAAACUCUGUUAUUAGGGAAGAACAAAUGUGUAAGUAACUAUGCACGUCUUGACGGUACCUAAUCAGAAAGCCACGGCUAACUACGUG